ACGGCUUUUAAGUCAACAACUUUUCAAAAUUAAAAAAUAAAAAAUAAAAAAUAAAAGAUUCAGAAAAGAAAAAACAUAAACAAGCAAUUGAAAAUCUUCUACCCUGAAGUUCAAUCAAAUCUUCAACCUGCGAUUUUUGAUGCCGACGCUGACGUCAGUGCCCUCCAAUGCAAACCCCAUCCACCUCUGACCCUACCCUCUCGGUGGCGUCGAGCAGUUUGCUUUUUUGCCCGGCUCUUCCAUCGGCCUGCCAGCCCGACCCAUCUCCGGGGCCUCCUCCUCUGAGGCUUCCUCUCCCCUGCAACAGCUAUGCUCUCCCACUCGCACCUCUCACUCCUUUAGCCUUCCCUGACCACAUCCUCUACACCCUGCCCGAGCCUCCCGUCGCUGAAAUCUCCCCCCACACCCGAUGCUGACCACAACCAAUGACUUUGAAUCGAUAAUCAUUUGUGCGUAGCCAAAAAAAAAAAAGAAGGUAGAGGAUACUAUAGUCUGCUAAAAUUAGAAUGCGAAUUUAAGGACAACGACUUGCUAUUGCUGCAGUUCUGAUCGGAGAUAAUGGAGCCCCAUCAAAACCUGGAUUUCAACCUAUUGAAGGUAGGGGACCAAGGAUUCAGCUGCGGAGGGUGGAUCUCCCUAGCCAUUUGUCAUGCCAGGAAUUGAUGGAGGCACAAUGUCCAACCGAUCAAUUGGCUCACCUUCCCAAGCCUCCGGUGCAGCUCUUGGAGCUUGCCAAUUGAGGGAGCCCAACCAGGAUUUUGCAGAUCGUUGAGAUGUGAACUUAGGGCGGAGGAUCUGCGCCGAAGAAGUAUUUGGCGAAGAAUAUCGAUAGACAAAACUUCCCAGUAAAGCAUUGUUUAUGGGGUCCAUCCAAGUGUUAAUGCCCUAGCCUCCAUGCAGUUUUUGGUUUCGUAACUUCAUCCCUGUUAACUAUAAAUUGUGUAACUCCUUUUAUCUUGAGUAGAUCCCCAAAGAAAGUCUCGGUUGAGCUUAUCAAUGGAAGAAACUGACUUUUAAUUCUCCUACUCUCGAACAUUUGGAUGAAUUAUAAUUGCGA
Non-coding RNA from Punica granatum (pomegranate), 1057 nucleotides. The record is from RefSeq and is a predicted model, not a curated record. NCBI's taxonomy places the organism in Eukaryota, Viridiplantae, Streptophyta, Magnoliopsida, Myrtales, Lythraceae.